This 3921-nucleotide small RNA is filed under the name Pongo abelii (Sumatran orangutan). Its description in RNAcentral is "retained intron". Lineage: Eukaryota; Metazoa; Chordata; Mammalia; Primates; Hominidae. The record is from RNAcentral.
AGCGGCUCCGGGCGGCAGCCAUGAGGCGGGACGUGCGCAUCCUGUUACUGGGCGAGGCCCAGGUGGGGAAGACGUCGCUGAUCCUGUCCCUGGUGGGCGAGGAGUUCCCCGAGGAGGUAAAGGGCACGCCCGCCGCGGGGGUGGGAGCGGGCCCAGCCGGGGGUCCCUGGUGAGCGCGCGGGUCCCUUGCAGGUCCCUCCCCGCGCGGAGGAGAUCACGAUCCCCGCGGACGUCACCCCGGAGAAGGUGCCCACCCACAUCGUGGACUACUCAGAAGCCGAGCAGACGGACGAGGAGCUGCGCGAGGAGAUCCACAAGGUACCCGUGGUGCGCGGGACGAGGGAGGGGCUGGGCGCGGGCUCGGCCUAAUCCGCUUCGCCGGCUGGGGGAUUGGACCGAGGUGCUCAGGGUGUCCUUGGCCCUGAUAAUUGUGUGACCUCCGCACUGAGGGUUGUUGGGGCCCCCCCAGCGCACCCCGCUGGGAGCCGGCACCGCUCAGUCCAGUGGUGCUCCAGGGAUAAGAGGAUCCUUCCCCGCGGGCUGUCUCUCUCUCCUGCUGGGGUGGCAGCAGCGUUUACUCUUCCUGUGGGCUGUGUGUGCGCUACCUCCCCCUGCUGUGUGCUCCAGCCCACCGUCCCGGCCUCCGGGCACCCAGAGCUCUCAGUACCAGAGCACGUGUGCCGGGGACAUCUCCAGGCAAGGGCACAGGCCACAGCCACCCAGGGCAGCCCCUGCCGCCGGUACCCCUCACUACGGUCCUGUCACUCUGCAGCGAGGGGGGAGGCAGGGACCAAGGCGGCGGCUGUUUUGUAGGGUGUUGGGUUGCAGGUGUGGCCGUGUCUGUCUUGAGCCCUCUGCUCUAAGGAUCUUGCCGACCACAGCUAUGCUUCUGGUGUUCCUGCACUGGCAGUGGGCGAGGAAGAGGCUUCUCUGAGGGUUCAGCAGCUCCCAGGGUGACACUGGGGAGUGCCUGCUCUGCCAACACCAGGCUGGAGGCAGGUUUUAGGGAAGGCUGGGCUUUCCCGGCCUCAGAGCCGCACCCAUGCUACCUGUGAGCUUCGGGGGCCUCCUGGAGCCUCGAGAUGGCGUGGAGCGGCCAGGGUCGUCGGUGGUGAGCCAGCAGCCCCGUCACCCACACCUCGUCACUGUUCCCUCAGGCAAACGUGGUGUGUGUGGUGUAUGACGUCUCCGAGGAGGCCACCAUUGAGAAGGUGAGCCCUCAGUGCAGACCCCAACAGCAGAGACACGGCCGCUGGUGGCCCAGGUGGACCCUCACCCAACCCGUGGCCAGUGCCAUCUCUCACAGCAUUUUGGGGAGCCUGACGUGGAGUCACCUGACGUGGAGUCACCCGGCCAUCUCCUGUGAUCCCACUUCCCCUGAGAGGGUCUGGGAUGUCCCGCAGUCUGAACCAUUUAGGCCCGCAGCCCUCUUUCUUCCCCAGUUUCCAAACCCCCGGGGGGAACCGCAGAGGGCCUGUGUUGGGGGCGGCCCUAGGCUUGGGCCCCAGUGACUUGGGGGUGUUUGGGAGCCACUGGGGUCAGACAGAUGAGGCUGCACCUGCUGCCUGCCUUCUCCCACCAGCUUUGUUCCUGUGGCUGGGACUUGGGCCCUCCGUGGGCCUUGACCUCCCAUUUCUGCUCUCCCCCAGCCAGGCUGGUGCUCCAGCUGGGAGCCAUGUGCCUGUGGACAGCCUCACCUCACAGCCAGGCUUUACUUUUCAGAUUCGAACUAAGUGGAUCCCACUGGUGAAUGGGGGGACCACGCGGGGGCCCAGGUAAUGAGGGGGAUGUGGAAGGGGCUGGGACCCCCGGCUCCCCUGCCCCUGGUGACCAUGGGCCUUCAACCCAGGGUGCCCAUCAUCCUAGUGGGCAACAAGUCAGACCUGCGGUCGGGGAGCUCCAUGGAGGCCGUGCUCCCCAUCAUGAGCCAGUUUCCGGAGAUCGAGACCUGCGUGGAGUGUUCGGCCAAGAACCUGAGAAACAUCUCAGAGCUGUUCUACUACGCCCAGAAGGCUGUCCUGCACCCCACAGCCCCUCUCUAUGACCCUGAGGCCAAGCAGUUGAGGCCCGCGUGCGCCCAGGCACUGACGCGCAUCUUCAGGCUCUCAGAUCAGGACCUGGACCAGGCGCUCAGUGACGAAGAGCUCAACGCUUUCCAGAAAUCCUGCUUUGGGCACCCCCUGGCCCCACAGGCCCUGGAGGACGUGAAGACGGUGGUGUGCAGGAACGUGGCGGGCGGCGUGUGGGAGGACCGACUGACCCUGGAUGGUGAGGCUGGGUGCCCGCCUGUGCCUGGGGAGUGUGGGGAGGGGGCUGUGCCUGGUGCUCCCCCUGCUCUGUCUCGGUGCAGGUUUCCUCUUCCUGAACACGCUCUUCAUCCAGCGCGGGCGGCACGAGACCACGUGGACCAUCCUGCGGCGCUUCGGCUACAGCGAUGCACUGGAGCUGACAGCCGACUAUCUCUUCCCUCCGCUCCACGUGCCCCCCGGCUGCAGCACUGAGCUCAACCACCUUGGCUACCAGUUUGUGCAAAGAGUAUUUGAGAAGCACGACCAGGUGAGAGCAUGGCGACUCCCCUGCCCCUGCCCCCGCCCCCUCCCCGGCACACACAUCACCGCAUCCCUCCUUCUGCAGGACCGAGACGGCGCCCUCUCGCCUGUGGAGCUGCAAAGCCUCUUCAGUGUGUUCCCAGCAGCCCCCUGGGGCCCCGAGCUCCCACGCACAGUCCGCACAGAGGCCGGCCGGUUGCCCCUGCACGGAUACCUCUGCCAGUGGACGUAAGUGCGGCCCACACCAUGCCCGCCCGCCGCACCACCCUUGCCACCGUAACACUGUGCCUCCCGCCCACCCCCAGCCUGGUGACCUACCUGGACGUCCGGAGCUGCCUUGGGCACCUAGGCUACCUGGGCUACCCCACCCUUUGUGAGCAGGACUCCCAGGCCCAUGCCAUCACAGGUAGGUACCCACCCUCUCUGGGCCUGGGCCCAGCAUCCUGGCAGCCGCCCUAACCCGUGUCUAUCCUCACAGUCACCCGUGAGAAGAGGCUGGACCAGGAGAAGGGACAGACGCAGCGGAGCGUCCUCCUGUGCAAGGUGGUGGGGGCCCGUGGAGUGGGCAAGUCUGCCUUCCUGCAGGCCUUCCUCGGCCGCGGCCUGGAGGUAAGCACCCUAGACUCCCCCACCACCCCAGGGGCUCCAGGAGCAGGGCAGGGCAAUCUGGGGGGCACUGGAGCCAGCGAGUGUCAGGACUUCACCUCCCUUAGCACCAGGACACGAGGGAGCAGCCUCCCGGCUAUGCCAUCGACACAGUGCAGGUCAACGGGCAGGAGAAGUACUUGAUCGUGAGUGCUGGGGCGGCGCGGCCUGUGCCGGAGGGUGGACCCGGGGACACCCAGGCCUGCCUAGCAGAUCUGGCCCAGCAUGGCCCUAGGGGGACUGAGCCCCAGGGACUCUUCCUAAGGCCACUGUCUGUCCCAGCUCUGUGAGGUGGGCACAGAUGGUCUGCUGGCCACAUCGCUGGACGCCGCCUGUGACGUUGCCUGCUUGAUGUUUGAUGGCAGUGACCCAAAGUCCUUUGCACAUUGUGCCAGCGUCUACAAGCACCAUUACAUGGACGGGCAGACCCCCUGCCUCUUCGUCUCCUCCAAGGCCGACCUGCCCGAAGGUGUCGCGGUGUCUGGCCCAUCGCCAGCCGAGUUUUGCCGCAAGCACCGGCUACCCGCUCCCAUGCCGUUCUCCUGUGCUGGCCCAGCCGAGCCCAGCACCACCGUCUUCACCCAGCUCGCCACCAUGGCCGCCUUCCCGUGGGUACCUGGCAGCACAACCCUGGGGACUAGCAGUGUCUGUCAUCCGAGCAGUGGGCAGCUGUGGCGUCAGGCCUGGAACUGGGACCAGAGUGGCGGGGUGGAGCUUUGUGUGGCAG